AGAAGGCUUCUGAGAAGUGUCUUUGUGUCCCAGCCCUGAGCUCAAAGCAGAGAUCACCUCACAGCUUGCUUUAGUCAGGGCUGAUGAAGGAGAAAUGCUGCUGAAUUUGCCUGGACACUCAAAGCCAGGGUAGGUUUUGAUUCUCAAUUGGUCAGGUCCAAAGUUUUCUGUAGCUUUUCUUGUCUAGAAUAGGAAUAUCUAGACCAGGAUGCUUCCGACCACCCUUCCAAGGCUCUCUGGUUUCAUUAAUUGGGCUCUACACCCCCAAAAUUAAUGAUUGUGCAAUGUGUUGCUGUUUCAUUCAUGAGAUCCAUGGUUUUGGUAGGUUUUGGCAGUACCACUCUCCUUCCACUGCCUUUGAACUCCUGCCUGGCUUUCCCCAGUCCUUACAGAGCCAUCCACUUAUCCUACUGGCCAACAGCUUCUCUGAUCCCUAAGGAGCUGAUACAUUCCUUUCAAGCUCUCCCAUCUUUCUUAACUCUCCUCUUUUCCUUCAUCUUUGCUUUGAACAAAUUGCUCCCAGAAUGGUGCAGUUGAUGCAGGAGAAAUUGCAUAGGACAAAUCUACCAAGCUGUUGCUUUUCCCUCAGGUCACUUCUUUUGCUGUCACUUUUCUCCCCAGGCUCUGUAGCCCAGAUUUCCCUUGGCCUCCAUAGACUGAGGACAGAGACAGCAGGAAAAUGUUGUCUCUGAUUAAGUCUUGUCUCCAGCCCCUUUCUCACAUCUCCACAUUUUCUCUGUCUGGAUUAUUGCCUUUGGAGUCAAAGGGUUUUGAUUUUUUUUUUAUACUGUGCAGAUAAUAUGAUGGUGGAAUGGGACAUUUGGUAUGUAGAUCACCUGUAAUCUUGUUUUCACAGCUCUUUUUCUUAUGCUUACAUCUUGAAUGUGAAGUUUGAAUUUGUACAGUUUCCUUCCUCUACAGCACAGCCACCCUGGUACAAAGCAUUGGCUUUAUUGUGUGUAACAGGUCCUAGAAAGUUGCUUAGAUCUUUACUUCUUGGCACAAAUAAUGUGGCAGGAGCAUUUUCAAUUCUGCCCUCAUAAUGAAGGGAGAACUUUUCACUGGAACUCUACAAUCAUUUUUAGAAAAGAAUUUGGAGCAAUAAGAGUGAGUGACAGUUCUCCCCUCAAACCUUUUCUAUUAACUGACAGAAAGGAUGCCAUUUGCUUCCUUUGCAAAUAAAAUGAACAAAAUAGUGCGAGUGAUACCUGAAAAUACCACAUAAGAAGUGCUAGGAAAAGCCUGCCCUGGUAUCUGUUGAGAAAGGACAUAAUUGUUCUUAUUCAGUCUCAGCCAUGAUGAGAAUCUCACCUUCCAGACCUGACUACACAACAGGCUAUUUGGAGGAGAGAAUCUCUUUACAUUGGCUGACUGUACAAGGCUUUAAUAUAUAUAUAUGUGUAUAUAUAUUAAAUGUAGGCAAAAGAAUUACAUUCAAAAAAAUCAGGCAUGUAAAUGAAAGCUCCUCAAAUCUUUGAAAAAUCUUCCUCAAUAUUAUAUAAUAAGAAAUACAUAACUGUGCCUAUUUUUACAGUAAUUUUCUUUCAUUUGAUGACAUUCAAUAGUAAGAUUUAUUAUUACCCACAUGGAAAAUAUCCUGCCUGGGGGUGGUUGAAAUAGAUCUUGCAGACAAGUCAUCAAUCAGCUCAUGUUUAUCUCUUCAGAGAUCAGCGAUAUCAGUGGCAGGAACAAUUCCAACCAAUUCAAGAGUAUUUACCGAUAAUAAAAGGAAAUGUUCAUGUGGCUUUAUACUGCUUCUCUCACCAGAGGUCACACAGCAUUUUUGCAGGAGGGCUGAUUUAUUGAGGCUCGUUUGAAGAUGAGGCAGGGAGAGCUCUGAGGUGUCCAGAGCCCUUGCCCUGACACCUCUGUGGCCAUUGCUCCCUCUCUGAAAGUCUAACUUCCCUUGCAGAGGGCUUUAAGAUAACACUGGUCCUCCCUGUCCCCACUGCUAAUGAGUUCAGCUAAAAGGAUUUAAGACUGAUACAGACAAAAAGAUCUUUUACAUCAGCUGAAUUGCAUGCAAAAUGAUUCUUACACUUCUUAGGAGUGAAUUGUAGCUUCUAACUGAACUCUGCUAUAAUUCUAAAGCAGAAGGUCUUAUAUUUGUGUCGCUGAUAGAGAGGUUUUUCAAAAUUUUAUGACAACACUCAGAAUAUUUAUAGGUAUUGACUGCAGGGUUCAGGACAAAGAUCUAUUGUCCUUGAGGCAAAAUAACAACCCUGACUUUACCUAGUACUUGCCUCUUGGUGUAAUCAGUCUGGAACUAACACUGCAAUUGUUACCUAACCCGUGUAUGACACAAGGGUUUUGUUCCUCUCACUUUUGCUUUUUUUCCUUUGCAAAAUUCAGUAUUUAUACUUACUGAAACAAAGAGCACUUUGAAUCACAACAUGAAGUGUAUGGUUUUUAAGAAGUUAUAAAGGGGUCCUUUUUUUUGUUUCGUUUCUAUGUUUUUGUCUAAGGAAAUUUACUGGAACAUUCAUUUCUGUUUGAGAGGAAACUUGCUCUAUGUGGACAAUAAAGAUGUUAGGAUCAGGAUGAAUGUCUAUGGGAGAUAAUAAUAAUGAAUGAAAAAAUGCAUCAGUCCAGCACUCAUAUUUUCCAGGAACUGCAAGAACUCAGUUCUGGGUUGUGUUUUAAAUCUGAGCCCCAUUGUUCCUGACUGGGUUCCGAGUCUGUUGGAAAGACUUCUCUUUGUUCCUCUGAGCUGCUCCAAUCUGAAGCAUUUGGACCAGUUCCAUAUUUUAUGCGAGAUUUUUAAGCUGAACAUGUAUUUUCACUCUUCCAGCUUUAGAAUGUAGAGCAAAGCAUCUUUCCCCUGUUUCCUGCUGGACGUGAGCAGAGCACAUUGACACUGGCAAAAGUAAUUUGACCUGGGAUGAGCCGGUAGGGGACAGGCAGCAGUUAUCAGUGGUACGUGAGAGGUGCCAGGAGCACAUUGCUCUCCUGGGGCAGGAACAUGCCUUGUGAGGCAGCACAGCCCAGGCUUCACCCCAGGCACGUGUGAGCUCUGUGCUCCGGGCUGACGUGAUUUGUUCUCCCCACAGAUACAAGAUGGGUGAGAACAUGUUUUUCCCCUUGAUGCUGUGUCAUUUGGUGGCAUUAAUCAAAUGCUUGUGGUGCCAGGGCCAGGGUUUAGUUGUGUCCUUUCGCAGGUGAAUGCCCCAGCCUGGUAGCACAGAGGUGUUUUUCUUGCUCUCUUUUCUUUCUUGGUCUUUAUGGAAUUUUUACACAAAUGGUGCUUCAGCUGAAGCUCUGAGGGUGACCUGGCCUCGGACACUCUGGCAUUUGCCCUGGUUGUGUGCAGCAGCAGCCUGGGAAGCUCUUCCCGCUCACAGGCAGGAUUUGUUACUGGCUAAAGUUACUCUCCUUGUAAGAGAAGUUAUUUGGAAACGCGGCCUCUCACCCUUUUAGUGCCCACCAGUUAAACUUCUUCCCUUUCAAAAUGCCCACAUAAGGUUUCCUGGCCCAGCCCAGCACCCACCUUGUGUCCCUGUGGCUGUGCCUGCUCUCCAGUGUCACAUCAUGUGUGAAACACUUUCAUACUGAGAACUCUGAGAGCUCUGCAUUCCUGUGUCACACAGCAUUUGUAAGCCCGACCCCGCUAUUGACAGACUGAAGGUCUGUGAGAUGGCUCUGACAAUACAACCUGGCAAAUAUUAGCCUGGAAAAUACUCAGGAGCUUGUUGCCAUCAGCAAACCUGGGGUCCCCAAGAGGUCGAUGUCAGCGUGAGGGUGAAGCCGUCCAGCAGGAUCGUGUUAGAGCUCGCACAGAGCAUGAACUCCUGAGAGGGGACUUGGCACUGGCUCCCGCUCAAGGGCAAUUGUUGGAGCAGCUUGUGAGCAGGCAGCUCGCCAGUGAGACAGGGCAUGGCUGUGGACAGCUCACAGAGCGUGUGUGUGCACAGGGCAGGCAGGAUGCACAGCUGGGAAACGGGAAAGGGAUUUCUGUAAACUUCUGCUCCGAGGGGGAAGAGCACAUUCAGGCGAUGCCAAUCCGUGGAGGAGUAAAGAAAUGAUUUCUGGCAGCUAAGACAGGUUUUGGGUCUGGCUAAAUCUGACAGAAUGCUGUGGGGGAGAACUGGAGAUGUCAUGGUUAAUGAGUAUGGAAAUUAUAUCAGUAGCUUGGCCAUCUAGGUUUUAAAUGUUGUCAAUCUAUAACAUGCAAUACUUCAGUGUAACAUUUUCUGGCUGCCUAGUUUAAGGCAUAAAGACAGGCAGCCUCUCAGUAAUGAGUCAGUAUCUAUAGAGAGCAAGCUGUUGAUAGCAAAGCAGAAAUCUUGGCUUCUCAUCUCAGCAAGUUUAAAUUAAUCAAAAAAGAUGGUGGGCAGGAGAAGAAGAGGGGUUGUUUUCUUUUGUUUUCACAUUUUUGACACACCUGACAAACUGAAUUCCCCAUGAUUUUUCUGCCUCCCUGCUCGGCCCACGGGAGCAUUAAUUCCUCUCUCCUCUUGGUGCACUCCAGCCCAUGAACUGUGCAGUGACCCUCUUGCCCAGCUCAUCUUGGCAUCCUGGAGUGCACUUAGACUCUGCACCUCGAAUGCUGGGAGAAGACAAAACCUGUUUACUGUAAACACAUUCUCCCCAGCACUUCAGUCCAGCAAGGGAUAAUUACCGAAACUCCGGGACAAAGGUGUUGUGGAUCUUUUUACUGGUGGAUAGAAAGGAUCCUCGUCAAGUCUAAUGAGUCUGUGGCUCUUACAGACAUCCAAGGGGGCCUUGCUGUCUCCAGAAGAGACAGAAAGUAACUCUGGGAAGGCAGAGUGUGGAAUCUGACACUACUGUGUAAUUGAGGAAAAAGAGCUAUAUGCAUUAUUUAUGAGCAGAAGGCUGGGCUUAAUGUUAACAAGUGAGAAGAAAGUGGCUUCAAAACACUGGCUUUCUGCUCUUCCCUGUAAGAAAGGCUUCUGAUUUAAAUUGCUUGCAUUUGAGAGCAAGAAGGGAGACAGAGCUGUUAUUUAUACCGAGCCUUAUUCCGUGUGUGUGGAGCUGUACAAGAUUGAGGGAGAGGCAGGGAUUGCCCCGAGGAGAGCAGCCUCUGCUCACUCAGGCUGUGGCCAGGAUGUGUCAUACAUGCUGCCCUGUAACGAGCUAAUCCCGAUCUGCUCCAGGCAAAAGAUUUCACUGCAAGACAGAAGCAAACAGAAUUGCUACUCUUUUGGCAUUUCCAUUGGGCAGGGAUGGUUUUAAAAAGCUGAGGAAUUUUCUCUGAAUCACUCUGUCCACCCCAUGACCUCUCUUUGCAACCACUGCCCAGUUUUGGGGUUGCAUGAGUUGAUUUUGUGGCUUUUGUCCUCUUAUGGGUCCCCCAGCAGGGUCUGCCCUGUCGGGUGUUGUGGUAGGAGCUAGAAGUGGCAUGAGCAAUCCAGCUCAGGCUGUCACAAAAUCUCCCUGUAAAGUCACACGAAUGUGCUGGAUCUUUUGGGUUUUAGCUGUUUUCUGACUAUUUUCUAAAGAAAACAGGCCUGGCUGGCUAAUGAAGUUUUGCCCUUCAUGAUGACAACGUGUGAUUAUUAUCAGCAAAAGAUAUUAUGUUCCAAAGAGUACAGGAUGCUGAGCUGCCUUUUUUCCUAAGAAAACACAGCGUGGGCUGAGGCAGGGCAAGUCCCUCCCUGUGGAGAGAUCACCUUCAUAGCUGAGCAAAUUAUCACCUUCAUCACUGUCUGCAUGGCAGUCACACCUGGAGGCAGGAGCAGGAGCUUGAACUCUCCCUGGACCUUUUUGCAGCUCAGCACAUCCAUUAAGGACCCCACCACAAAGGGAUAAAGGCUCUUCUUCCCACUCCACCCAGCAGAUGUACAUGACAUGUGCUGCAAAAGAUUUCACUGCUGCUACUGCAGCCCUGCUUGGGUUGGAGUCCAUGCUUGGGAUGUUUGUGCUGCAAAUCUGGCACCCAGCACUACCCCACGAGCUUGUAUUUGCAGAAGUUCCAUGCUUUUCUUUUCUGCAGGUCUCAAAAGGUAAGAGAACCUUCCAUUUUCUUCCCUUUUUAAAGGUCACCAGAUUCUCCCAUCCCCAUUUCUGCAUUACAGCCAAUGUCCUUUCCAUGGUAUAAAAUCCUGACUCCUUCCUGCUGUGAUCCCGAGCAGCCAGGAUUUUGUUUCUGGGAGGAAAAUUAGCUCAGUGGGAUAAGAUGAGAAUAACUAGGCCUCUGUAAAAGUCAGGAAGCAAGAAGUGAGCAGCAUUGCACUGGAACUGAUGGGGGAAAAGCACUCUGUUCCUUGAUUUCUAACACUGGCUCAUUGAUUCUCCUCUUGGUUCCAUCAGCAGUUACUGCUUUUCCUUAAUCCAGGUUCAUAACUUCUUAGUGGAGCAGGUUCUUUAACAGAAAUACCCCUGAGAAAUCAUAACAACAGGCUGGAGGGGAAGCUGAAGAACACUGGGAUCUUGCCUGCAUCCCAGAAGGAUGUAUUGAGCAGGGAAUUGCUGUUUCUAAUGGGGUUCCCUGGAAAGUCCUUUGCAGCCAGGUGUGUGGCUGCACAGUUUUGUGUGCGUGUCCAGGUCGAGCAGAACUCGAGCCGAUGCUGAAAACGAGUAGCACCUUUUUCUGAGGAGUACUGCUAAGUUUUCCCUGUCCCCGGGCUUCUCAUAGCAAAGAAGGUAAUGGCAGGAAGGACUAAUGAAUAAAGAUGAUUUUUGUAAAGGUGGGAUUGGAACAGGAGAGGCUGGAGGUGAGGCACAGCGAUGGGGGAGGAGGGAGGCAGCCCGUGUGGGGACUAGUGAGUCAUGCAUCCUCCAGCAAGCACUGACUCACUGGGAAGAUGAUCGCUCUGCUGUUCCCUUUCUGCUAAAGCUGAGGAAUAGUCAGUCGACACAACUUUAUUCUGCAAGCUCCCGGGUUGGAGAGUGAGGUGUAGAAGGGAGGGAGCUGGAGACCAUGAAGCACUGAAGUGGGAGGCAGGGGUGAGCCCUGGAGCACAGCCUGCAGCUGCUGAGGCUCCCUGCAGCAGCUGGAAGAGAGAAUUCCCUGUGCUGGAUGUGGAACAGAGGCUCAGCUCCUACAGCCAGGCUGAGCACUGGGGUCUGCAAUACCCCUUUGUGUUCUCUUUGCUGCAGGGUCCAGGCUCAGGUGCUGCCAGCACUGCUGCUCCCAACGAGGCACACAAAAUCCUUGGAGCCAGACUUGGAGUGUGCCAGCUGGGACAGGUGUCACCCGGCAGAGAUGUCACAUGGGAGAAGUGUCACCUGGCAGAAAUGUCACUUGGGAGAGUUGUCACCCCGCUCCCUUGUGGACAGUUAGGUACAACCAGUGGGGAUGCAGUUCUGAUGUUUGUUAUCUCCUGCCCAGCUUGUUAUGCUUAACAGGUGAGGAGAGCCAUUGCUGGAUUUGUGCUACCUGCAGAUUUCUAAAAGGAAAUACAUUUUUUUACCCAUUGUGUACACAGGAGAAUGAUUCUGCAGGGCUGAGGAGAGGGACCAGAGGGCCAUGUGGUUUCUUCCUCAGAGAAAGAGGAAAGAAAAUGUAUAAGAAGAAUCCAAAAUUACCCCAAAAGCUGAUUCUCACUCAGAUUGUUGCAGCUUUCAUACGAGUGAAGUGCAGAGAGCCCUGAUCCACAAAGUGGUGCUGUCAGGAUUUCUGGAGCAGUGAAAGGCUCCAAGUGUGUCUGUGCAGUCAGCAUUGAGGGCAGGGGCUGGAACUGCCCAGCACAGGCAGUGCCCAGACCUGGGAUCAGAAACUGGGAGAGCAGUUGCAAGUCAGAGCUGCAAUUUUCAUUUGCUUUACAAGUUUUAUGUUGGUAAUGUGGAGUAAUUAAUGAACCAGAGCAGUGCUGCAGAGGGGGAAUAAUUUUAAUGCUCCUUUUAAAGAGGCUACUAAAUCAAUGGGGCAGUUUAAAAAGGAAUGAUAGCCUGGAGAUUAGGAGACUUAAUGUGAGAAAUUAGGCAGGGUUUUGAGAGUGAUCGAAUCUCAAGUAGGCAGGUCCUUUAUGAGCUGCUGUGUGGGCAUUUGCAUGUUCAACACACACUGCCAAAGGCAGGACUCACUGAGUUUUAGGUUUGACUGGUCAGACUGGGCCACUGUGUUCAGACAUGAAGGUCCCCCACACUUGGAAAAGACACUGAGAGAUUGUAAAGCACAAGCUACAGUCCUGCUUCCCACUGUGCAGGAGCAGUAUUUUUCCACUCCUGUCACAGGUCUUCUGACUACCAGGCUCAUAAGGGAUGUCUACAUGGGCUUUUGUAGGCAGAUACGAGCUUACUCUGGCUGCAGGCCAAGGGAACCAGAAGCCAUGGAGCUGCAGCUAAUGUGCUACAUGCCCAAAUUACUGUGGCCUGCUGAGAGGCAGGAUAUUAGCUUGAGCUCAGGGCUCUGGCCAGCUCAGACCAUGAGUGAAAUAAGUUUUCCUCUGUGUGUGGAAAAGCAUGGAGACAAGGAUAGACAACCUGCAUAGGAUUCGGAAAGCCGCUUUUAUCCCGGCUUGGGCAGGUUAGCCGAGCCCAGGAAAAUCAGGCAGACACAACUCCCUGAGCACCCUGCCCCGAGCACAAAGAGCAGCACCACAUGGUUGGCCUCAGAGCCAGCCAGCUCCUCCUGGCCAAGGAAAACUGCUUUGGGAGCUGCAUCCAAAUUCUGUGGGCCUCCAGUUGGCUCUCCCUGUCGUAGGCAUACCCAGCGUUUCUCUCCUGUUUUGGAUGGCAGGGACUCGCUGUGGACAGGGAGGGUUUGAAUUCUGUCCUCACUGCCUCUGUGAGUUUCUGCAGGAAAAUGUUGUACAAUGUGACACCUGAUGGACCAUAUUGAAUUCUGAGCUCUGAAGGUGGACUGGCACCUACAUGUGUCCAAUUUGAACUAAGAUGAAAGGCUGUCUCCAUUUUAAAUGCAUAUAUUAGCUAGAUGGAUUAGCAGAACUUUUUUUAUUCCUAAAAUUUUUUACUGUCUCAAUUUUGAAGACUGCUUUGCAUGAGAAAGUUCACCAUGUAUUAUUGUUUAAUGUUAAUGGAGGAGGAACUCUGUGUGUGCGUGUCCAUAUGUACACAUGCAGAGUACAAGAAAACAGAGAUGUUUAUAUGUAAGUACACACCCAAAAUUCAGUCUUGGGUAUCUUAGAAUGAUACAUAAAGAUAUUAAGGAUGCACAGCAAAAAACUGUGUGCUAGGCAGUCUUGUGGUGCAGUGAAGCAUUUUAAAAGCAGGGAUUUGAGUAACUGUCUAAGUUGCUGAGGAUAGAACCAUAAUUUGAGCAGGAAGAAGCUUUAAUUAAAAUAGACCCAUGAGGUGAAAUCCCAGCCCUAUCAUGGUCAACAGCACAACUCCUACUGAUCCUUCAUGGAAUCAGGAUUUUGCUCGGAUCUUGUGACAUUUGCCUUUUCUGAAUCUGAGGCAUUAGUCCUCGAACAGAAUAUAUAAGCUAAAAAUGGAAAACUGCCUGACCUAAAAUAGUUUGACAUCCAUAUCAUAGUGCUUAUUGUCUGAGAGUACAUCUAAAUGACAUGUUGAUUAAUCCUGAAGUGAGGAAAAUGCGAUUCGUUGGAAAGAACUGGGAUUGUACCAAUAAUUCAGUACCAGAAGCUACACAGCCAUCAAGUCAGUGUGCAACGUUUCCAGGAAAACUUUAUUUGCAAGCUGUCAGAUUCAUCUGCCAUUUUCCCAGAGACUUUGGUUCCCUUCAGAGUGGCCUGGACGAAAUGCUCCAAUCCAGUUCAUGUGAGCUAUCAGCUACUUUGCUAAAGCAACUUUCCCCGUUCCUUUCACUGAAAACAAAACAGUCAUAUCAAGUCAGGUUGCUGUGAGUGGCUCUUAAGAGAGAUGUCGGCUGCACUUAGUGCACAGCUGGGGCCAAAGUGAAGCUGUGUAAGUGCCUGAGCUGUUCAGCUGGAAAUUACAUCUUGUGCAGGAACCUAAAUGUCAAGUUCUCCAGUCCCCCUCACAGCCAGAACUCCAGCAACUCCCCUUUUCCCAUGACUCUUCUUCCCUUUCCUACAGAUGUAGCUGUGUUUUCCUUCAGACACAAUAAAUCUUGUAUGGGAAUGCCACAAUGUAAAGCAAAGCGAGCUGUCACCCAGGACUUCAGAUGACACUUAGCCACAUUAACGAGUAAACAGAGCCCACAGGAAAGAUGCCUUUUGAAAUGCACUGUUUGUGUCAGCAGUGCUAAAACUAACGAACCAAAACAAUGAGGGGAAAAAGGGGAAUCAUCAGAUGCACCUAAAGCUAUAGGCUAUAAAGUCAGAUCGGCUGAGAGCAGCUCAAAUACAAGCAAAUCAUUGGGACAGUACAUAAAUUAUGAUUUCCAUAAGCAGUAAGACAGCGAAUACUCCCAGCCUUGUGAUGGGAGGAAAGCACUAAAAGAAAGGCUAAAUGUAACCAUGUGGAAAGAAGGGAGCAGGAAUGAAUGUGCUUCUUAUUUUGGAACCUUCUCAUGGCAAACAAGCAAGGCUGGAGCCAAAAUCUCCAGGACACAGAAGGAAGUUGGAACUGUUACCCCAGCGCAUGGCUCACGAGAGAGCUGGCACAGAGAGAGGGAUCAGCUCUGCAUUGUUCAGAAGGAGCCUCACAGAGCAUGCAGGAUAACAUGCAUCCCCAGGGCCUUUGGAGGCAACCACUAUCAACAGACAGUGGAAUCAGUCCAAAGUCAGAGAAAUGUUACUGAAUGAUAAUUUCACUCUUGAUGAUGGAGGAGCAAAACUGUGCACCGGAAGAAAAGAAAUAAACUGAUGGUAGGGUAUAGAAAUGGUGCUGUGGAAAUGGCUUUGCUUUGCUUGCUGUAGGGAUUUACUCUUCCACUGAACCAGUUCUUAAACAAUAAUCCUCUGAAGGAAGCUUUCAGAUCACUGACAUGGUGAGAGGAAACCAGUAUUAGCUACAGUUCUUGUAUUAGUGGUUGCUUCAUGUUGAUACAAACAAAAGUGCCUGGUCCUGAAUUAACAAUAGCUGUGGUUUAGGUUUUCUUCUUUCAGUGAUCCCCAAAUUAUGCUUGACUGAAUAAUUUCGUACUAGGGGCAGAAUAAACAUCAACUCUUAAUAGCUGAAUUUUUAAGGUUAAAACUGAGGCUAAGUACAUAACAUUUAUCUUCUGAAGAAAGCAUGUGUACCCUGGUUAAGGGGGAAGAUGGAAACCAUGUCUGUGAGAGCAAUGGCUGAUGGCUUAGUUCUGCAUGAUAAAAUAAAUAACUUCGAUUAACUUCAAGCUCCAGUACCUCAGAUGUUUGUUGUCACAGAGGAGCAGCUUGGCUGAUUGGCAGCUCUGGUUUAGUCGACAUGUGUUAACAAAAAUUGCUCAAUUUACAUGGAGUACUUCAAUCUGCUGUUUUAGGAGUUUUUGUCUUACAUAGACUGGCAUUUCAGCUUUUGAAUAGAUGGAGGACUUGUAAGGGUCAUUAAAGAAAUUGCUAAAGCUUCUGCAAAUGCUUGGGCCAGAUUGCUGACUGAGAUGCAGAGCAUGCACGUGUCACUGCAGAUACUUCCCAGAUAAUGGUGCUGAUUGAGAUUUUAAUCUGGACAGAGUGCUGGAGGCAACUUUCUUUCCAACACUCAAUUAUCCUGAUAAUAAUAUGCUUAUUUCUUUCCUGUGUUCAAAAUGUGUGGUCUGCUGCAACUGUGCAGUGUGAGUACAGUGCUGUACGGAGGGGGAAAAAUCAGGGAGCAAAACUGACUCCACAGCAAAGGGCACUGACAGCACAGUCCCACAGUGUUCAAGGCAAUGUAUUUUUACCUUGAAUGAGCUGAGUAACCACUAUGAGAAAGGGCUGCAUUCCUUCCCACAGGCUGCAGGACGACUCCUUGGUUCUCAACAGCCACAGAGGAAUAAAUCUGGAGCACAGCCUGCAGCCAGGACUAUGUAGCAUGUUGUAGGGGCAAGACUAUCAUUUUACUGUGCAUUUGCAUCUUGUAUCCUCCCUGGUGGGAUGCUGAUCCAUAACAGAGUCUUCUAAAAUCUCACACAACACAAAGAAUCCAGGCUAGUUUCCCACGGACACUCUUCAUGAAAGAAUUUCUUAGAAGAGAUAACUCAGCCAGGAAAUGAGAACUAGGGGGCCAAAUUCCUUCAUUCAAAUCCAUCUCCCUUUGGUAAAGGAUUAAAAAAAUUGUUCCUAUAUGACUAAUCCCAGCUAUAUUUCCCUAAUUUCUAGGGAAGCAACAGUUUCUAGAGAUGAAGGGUAAAGCCAUUUGAGGAAAUCAAGCUUUAUUUGCUUUUUAUUAAUUAGAGAAUUUUCUGCUAGAUCAAAUUACUAAUAACACUUUGGUUAUUAAAAUUUAUGAAACCUAGAUUUACUUUUCAGCCUCUGUAUCAUCUUCUGAUCCUUAAUACUUUUCAUCACACUCAAGGAAUGAAAACAAACUCAGCUGUUUCAUGUUUGUUCUCAAUUGACUUUUACCAGGGCUGUGUUAAGGUUGUUACAUACUUGUUAUUAAGUGAUGGCAGAGCACACACUUCUGAGACAACACAGAAUAUUCACCCUCACUUUUGGCAGGUUACAACCCAAAACGAGUGUCACAAACCUGCCAGGAGAGCCAGAGAAGGUUCUGCUGCUUCCAUAGCUCCCUCUGUCCCUCUCUGAUUGUUUUCUGCAGGGAUAGCUGUGAAUUUCACUCAUUUGCUUUAUGUGUCCAGUUGUAUUUGUUGCUUAAAGUGAAUGCACAUGCCCUAAAGCAAGGAACUUAUGAUUUUUGGCUUUUUAUGAUUAGUUGAAAGUCUUUGCAUCUAUGUUAAAUUCAGCUGUAUUGAAUUUAGUUAAGCUAGUGCUGCGUAGGCACUUUUAUUCUGGACUGGGAGUGAUUUGGGCCAAUUUCUUUUAAAUCCAUCCCUAACUGACUUGCACUGAGCUGAGCUAACACCUGAUUUAUGCUCUCAUUUAUCCCAUUUUGAGCAAGAGCUCGGGGAUGCUGUUGGGUGCCAGCACCGUAAGGAGUCACCACAUGAGCGGCGGCCUGGGCAGCGCAGCAUUGCCGUCCUUAGCCUGCAGCAAACGUGAGCUCCGUGUGGCACAGUGACCUCGGGCCAAGAAAAUGAGAAUUCUGAACGGGUUUCUUCCAUCGCCGAUCGCCACGGGCUAAGAGCAAACACACACGGUCAAUUAGCGAGGCUCAGCUGAUGCGCGCUCAAAAACUUGAAUUCAAUCUCAGUUCAUCUUUACUCUCACGUAACAAAAGGGAAGACAUUUGAUUAGGUUAUGUGAGAUCACGUGGAUGGAUUCAACACAUGGCUGCAGGACCAGGCAUUAUUAUCUUGGACACAUUUUGAACACUGCUUCUCACUCUGCUAUCAGCCACCGCCACCUCUGCAGUAAUGUGACAGCAAGAGAAAAAGGAUGGGAAGGCGAUAAAGUUUGCCCACGCAAGGAGAAAAGAACUUUCUGUCCAAAGCCAGCUGGCUUGGCUUGGGAAUGAAAUGGCAUUUUAGUGAGAGGUGACCUGUUUACAUGAGCCUUGUCUCAGAACACUUGUCCUUGGUGCCACAAUGGGGUCUGAGACGCAGUUUAUCAUCGAGUACCCACAGAAAACAGGUGAGCUGUCUCCGUGCCAGUUUGUCUUCUAAACUGUUUGACAGAUAAGAAACCAUCCUCAGAGAUUGCAACAAAUGUGCUGCCGCAUUUCAUGGUAAGAACCGAGCAUAUUUUUAGUAAGGGGUUGAGAAAGUAUGCAAUAAUCCUAAAUCACAGCCAAGAAAACCACAAACCCCGUAACAAAUGCCUGUUCGGUUUCAGAGCUCAGAAACGUGCACCAGUUGAUCCAUGUUAACGCUCCGGGGAAAUUUUUAAGCUUAUUUUUCCAGACUCCAAGAGAGAAUCCGUAACUUUUUUUGCCUUUACCUGGAGGGGCCAGGGGGAGCAGGGAAACUGCUGGGUGCUCUUUAUCCUGUGAGACACAGGCCAGCCAUCCUACAUGUGCUCUCAAAGAAAUCAAUGGGAUGUGCACCAAUGACAUACUUGUUCUGAGAAGUCUGUUCACCAUUAUAAAACCCCAAAAUGUACCUUGUAAACUGCCCAAGUUUAAGAAUUAAACUUUAUUCCAUAAGUUAACUGCUUCAGAAGUUUCUUUGUACACUCUAAUAGAUCCUGCAGAGCCACUGUGGGCUCUGGAUAUGAAGCCUACCGGGUCAGGAUAAAAAUUGUGCCUUUUUCUACUGCAGUUUGGUCAAUGAGUUUAAAGUGAAGCAGACAAAAUUCAGGAAAAAUAACACUUAAACUUGCAUUUUAAGAGCAGCUUUAGCUGAUUGAGGGUGCUCUGCACAAGUCAGGAGAAACUUAUCUGGCUUUUAAGAGUUCCACAAGUCUUUUGUCACUUGAAGAGGCCCCAUCAACUUCAAAUCUACUUUACAAAAGUAGUUCAAAAACGUUUCAGAUAUUAUGGCCUCCUAUAUCUAUUUCUGUCCCUUUUGUUUCCUAACAGCAUGAGAUACUGACCACACAUACUGCUGUCAAAUAUAGAAAUUAAACUUACAGAAAAAAGGAGCCAUUUUUUCUUUAAUCUCUUGGAAUUUUUUCCAGACUAAAGGAUAGUUCUUAAAUUGAUAAUAUCCCUUUAAGAAUUUAUUUGCCAGGUAAUGUUAGAAGAAAAAAGACUUUAAGGUCAGUUUGAACAUUAAAAAGACCCCCUUUAAAAUAAAUUUCAAAUCUAUAUUGGAGAUAAUGGCAGGCAGUAUUAGAACAGCUCUCCAAAUUAUAAAAUAUAUUCUACACCUUAAAAAUGCAAAAAGCUUUAAAAUCCUUUUAAGUGAUUUCCAGUUCCUUGGAAAAAGGUCAAGAUUUAUCCUAAGAAAUACUUUGUUGCAUAAAAAUAAUGCAUGUAGUUUAGUGUUGCAAUAUAUUCCAGUCAUAAUAUAUGUAUAAAGCUACAAAAUUAUUAACAGAUGAGGGGCUGUAAAUUUUGAAUAAUGAAGUAAAUAUGAUUAUUUUUGAGGGGUGAAAUAACACAAUGCCGUCAGAAGAGAAAAUUACACUUUAAUAAUGAAAAUAUUGAACAUAACUAUUUUUCUUUAGAUCUGCUAAGCAAUCUGUGUGUUCCCUAUGAGAUGUCAAACUAUAGAGUGCAUAUGAAGACUUUGCUCCCUCUAUAAAUAUACAUGUGCACGACACAUUGCUAACAGCAGCAAGCGAGUGCUGGGGAAAUACAGCAACAAUGAAGUUCCUGAGAGAGGCUUAUUUUUUCAAGUUAUUAAAAGAAGGUGGCAAGCGUUCAUGAGGAUAUGAAAAUUUAAAGCCGUCUGCAGGAAACUCUGAAAACCUCUGGUUAAGGCUGCUGCCAAAAAAUCUCAGCUAUGUUAUGUCAGAAUGUUUAAUUGCAAGCUGCAACUUUAAUGAAUGGAAAGAUAUGGCAAAAGCAGGAAGUUUCUGAAGCAACAUGAAGCAACCAUGAAAAUAAAAUACCAAAGGCUGUAAUCUUGAGUGCUGUUGGAAGCAGGAAUUUCCAUCCACGCUCUGCCUCCUUUCCCUGCUGUGCAGGGGUUGCCAGCUGAGGGGAGAGGUAAAAGGCUCUGGAUAUCAUCUGCUGGGCUCAAGGCAGCACUUGUUAUGUCGAUGUGAACAAGUCAACUUCUUUGCAUUUGUCAUUAUGGGUGUUUACAGAAGUGCAGCUUAGGAAUGAGGGGAGGAAAGGCAAAUGUCAGAGUGCAUUAAAUAACGUAUUUUCUUUACUUUCCAAGAAGCUUGCUCGCAGCAUGAUGUUGCUAUUUAUAUCACAUCUCCUAAACCCAGCUGUUGGUUCAUGUUAACAUGCAGAAUGGUGAGAAAAUCCUGGCAGAAGAGCGUGAAUCCCAGAGAGACUUGUGGGGACCUAUAAAAUAUCACAAAUUUUGCUGAGGUAUGGGCCGGGUGUGCCCCCGGUGAGGCAAUAUCAGCAUUUCCCCUGCUGAUCCUCCAGUGCUAGAGCACCAAGAGCAAAGCAGAAUGUAAAGUUCCAGAACUUUACAUUUUUCUGCAGCAGAAAACUUCAGGGAACUGAGCCUGCACCUCUGGCUGGAAGAGUUUGAAAGAGUACUUUUACCUGUAACUCAAAACUAGCAAAUACACUGUACACCCACAUAACAGCAUUCUUAGACAAGCUGUGUCUGAUCUAAUCUUAUGUACCUUGGCCACAAGUUUUGGAAAAACAAAUAUUCCCAAGGCAAUCAGAUUAGUGAAUAUACCAUAUAAUGAUGUGGAAAUACUAGUGGUUUACAGAGAGCAGUUUAUGGGAUGGAUUGAGUGACUUUAAUUCACGCAUUGUCAGACAGCUUUGGACUUCAGUAAAAUAAGGAAACCUUGAUUUUAUCUGUGUGUAGUGGAACGUCAGAGCAGCACUCCUGAGCACAGAGAGCUCAGGGGAGUUUGUUCCCAGCCAGCUCCCCAAGAGGACAGGCAGAGGUUUGUGCUGAGGUGACCAGGGGGUUAACAGGGUUACCCAAAGCCUUAAUGGCCAGGAACCAUUAUCUGCUCCUCUCUGAUUUCCUGCUCCCUAGGUGGGAGUCCCCCCUGCCCCUCUCCUUUGUUUCUAAUGUGAGUUCCCAUCCUGAAAUGCUGUGAGUACAAUUCGGUUUUGUUGCAAUCAGUAGUCCUUUACAAAAUCUUCAUUCACAGAGUGUUUCCCCCAUUGUAAGUGGAACAAUGUUAGGAAUUAAUCUGGCCUGUGAUUUGUAGGAACCUUGUUCUGAAAACCUCGUUCUUAGACCCCCCCCUUCCCUUUGAAGGGUAACUUAAUUGUUUGGCAACCAUGCAAAAGCUACAUAACAUCCCCUACUCCUCUUAGCUAUGAUUUUAAAAGUUCUGCAUUUUGGUUUUAUAUAACAUUCACCUCUAGAAGUAUGAGGCUCAGAUUCUCUUCUCUAAGACACAAGAUGAAAAAACUGAUUUCUGGAAUAUAAGGAACAUUUGAAAGGAGGAAAAACCAUGGUACAUCUCUGGCGUGGAUUGUAAGAAGGUCCUAAAUGUGAAUUUGGCCUUUGCAGUUGUCCUGGAAGUUAAACCCAAUGCAGCACCAU
Molecule: long non-coding RNA, 16897 nt
Organism: Parus major (Great Tit)
Lineage: Eukaryota; Metazoa; Chordata; Aves; Passeriformes; Paridae
Exons: 3
Source: RefSeq, a predicted model, not a curated record